GUUCUUUCUCUCAAAUAAGUCCACCACAUGACCAAACAACUUACCCCAUGAAUCCUUCUAAAUUAUAUGUGGGGUACUUCCUCAUAUUCCUCUCUUUCUUUAUGCAAAUCUAAUGUCAAUUUCAACCCUUUAUCUUAAUGAUAUUUUAUUUAUGUGCUUUCUGUCUCAGAGGAGUUGGGGGCUUCCUUUCUGUGCCAAAAUCCAACACCAUAAGACAACUGAAUAGGUACUCAUCGAUCA
This 240-nucleotide long non-coding RNA is filed under the name Ricinus communis (castor bean). RNAcentral's name for it is "long non-coding RNA (RCOM_LNC002548)". The record is from RNAcentral. Lineage: Eukaryota; Viridiplantae; Streptophyta; Magnoliopsida; Malpighiales; Euphorbiaceae.